GUUUGGAAUGGUUUUAGAUUAAAAUUCUAUUAGAGUAACGACUAGAGGAAAAGUCUGGUGCCAGCACCCGCGGUAAUUCCAGCUCUAGUAGCGUAUAUUAAUACUGUUGUAGUUAAAACGCUCGUAGUUGACCUAAGGACUAUAGGUUUUGAUUCGGUGUUAGCCCGUUCUUCUGCAGUUCCGUGUUAUAACGGGGUUGCAUGGAAUGAGGUUGAUAUCCGCGGCAUGUGUCCCCAUAGACUUUGUCCGUGGGUGUUCAUGUGUGGGUUUUUACCUGUAGUCCGAUCCUUGCCAAUGGUUCCCAUUGGUAAAGGCCUUAUGGUACAACUGUAAACUAAUCAGAGUGCUCAAAGCAGGCAUUGUUAAUGGGGAUUUAUCCUCAGUUUUGCUUGAAUGAUUUAGCAUGGGAUUGUCUUGGAGCCGUGAAUAGUGCCCUUUAGCAAUAGAGGAACGCUGUUCACUGGCGCUUGUAAUGUGAAGCAGGGAGAGGGCUCAAGUACUAUGGUGCUAGAGGUGAAAUUUAGAUACCAGCAUAUGACUUUCUGAUGCGAAAGCUGUUAUUGUCCAAUACACUUCUUUCGAUCAGGGACGAAAGUUAGGGGAUCGAAGAUGAUUAGAUACCGUCGUAGUCCUAACUAUAAACGAUACCAACAAGAGAUUGGUAGUGAAACCAUUUAAGAUCCUCUCAGAAUCCAAGGGAAACCUAAAGUCUUUGGGUUCUGGGGGGAGUAUAGUCGCAAGGCCGAAACUUAAAGGAAUUGACGGAAAGGCACCACCAGGAGUGGAGUUUGCGGCUUAAUUCGACCCAACGCGGGAAAACUCACCAGGACAGGACAGAGGUAUGAUUGACAGGUUGAAAGUCUUUUCUUGAUUCUCUGGAUGGUGGUGCAUGGCCGUUCUUAGUUCGUGGAGUGAUUUGUCUUGUUAAUUCAGUUAACGAACGAGACCUUAACCUACUAACUAGGCUAUAGGCUAGCUUUACGGCUAGUCAGUUUCUAUGGAGUGGUUCGUAUGAGCCAUUUCUUGAAACCUAUAAUAUGGAACUUCACUUUCGGGUGUAGUUCCUGCUUCUUAGAGGGACAAUACUUCGUUUAUAUUAGAGUAAGGAAGUUUAAGGCAAUAACAGGUCUGUGAUGCCCUUAGAUGCCCUGGGCAGCACGCGUACUACACUGUUAAUACUAACAAGUCAGUACAAUGUGAAUACUUCGGUGUUCACUGGCCUUCUCCUUAAAGGAGUGGGAAAUCUUUUCAAACAUUAACGUGACAGGGAUAGCUGUUUGGAAUUCCAUCUUGAACGAGGAAUUCCUAGUAAUCGCGAUUCAUUAUAUCGCAUUGAUUACGUCCCUGCCUUUUGUACACACCGCCCGUCGCUCCUACCGAUGGAACAAAAAGGUGAAUUUGACGGACUUGAGCUUUGGCUUGGGGAAAUUAGCUGAACCUUUUUGUUUGUAGGAAGGAGAAGUCGUAACAAGGU
RNAcentral lists this ribosomal RNA (1474 nucleotides) under metagenome. RNAcentral describes it as "bacterial SSU rRNA". It matches the Rfam family "Eukaryotic small subunit ribosomal RNA", at positions 507 to 1800 of the family's 1831-position model. The record is from RNAcentral.